AUUGAACGCUGGCGGCGUGCCUAACACAUGCAAGUCGAGCGGUAACAGGUGUAGCAAUACAUGCUGACGAGCGGCGAACGGGUGAGUAAUGCUUCGGAAUCUACCUUAUGGUGGGGAAUAACUAGCCGAAAGGUUAGCUAAUACCGCAUACGUCCUACGGGAGAAAGCAGGGGAUCGUAAGACCUUGCGCCAAAAGAUGAGCCGAAGUCGGAUUAGCUAGUUGGUAGGGUAACGGCCACCAAGGCGACGAUCCGUAGCUGGUCUGAGAGGACGACCAGCCACACUGGCACUGCGACACGGGCCAGACUCCUACGGGAGGCAGCAGUAAGGAAUAUUGCGCAAUGGGCGAAAGCCUGACGCAGCGACGCCGCGUGCGGGAAGAAGGCCUCGG
RNAcentral lists this ribosomal RNA (391 nucleotides) under uncultured bacterium. RNAcentral's name for it is "bacterial SSU rRNA". It matches the Rfam family "Bacterial small subunit ribosomal RNA", at positions 29 to 420 of the family's 1533-position model. The record is from RNAcentral.